UACGGGGGGGGCAAGCGUUGUUCGGAAUUACUGGGCGUAAAGGGCUUGUAGGUGGCCAACUAAGUCAGACGUGAAAUCCCUCGGCUUAACCGGGGAACUGCGUCUGAUACUGGAUGGCUUGAGUGUGGGAGAGGGAUGCGGAAUUCCAGGUGUAGCGGUGAAAUGCGUAGAUAUCUGGAGGAAUACCGGUGGCGAAGGCGGCAUCCUGGACCGGCAUUGACGCUGAUGAGCGAAAGCUAGGGGAGCAAACGGG
This 253-nucleotide ribosomal RNA is filed under the name uncultured bacterium. RNAcentral describes it as "partial 16S ribosomal RNA". It matches the Rfam family "Bacterial small subunit ribosomal RNA", at positions 524 to 776 of the family's 1533-position model. The record is from RNAcentral.